This 468-nucleotide ribosomal RNA is filed under the name uncultured bacterium. RNAcentral describes it as "partial 16S ribosomal RNA". It matches the Rfam family "Bacterial small subunit ribosomal RNA", at positions 28 to 507 of the family's 1533-position model. The record is from RNAcentral.
GACGAACGCUGGCGGCGUGCUUAACACAUGCAAGUCGAACGGAAAGGCCCUGCUUUUGUGGGGUGCUCGAGUGGCGAACGGGUGAGUAAAACGUGAGUAACCUGCCCUUGACUUUGGGAUAACUCCAGGAAACUGGGGCUAAUACCGGAUAGGAGCUCCUGCUGCACGGUGGGGGUUGGAAAGUUUCGGCGGUUGGGGAUGGACUCGCGGCUUAUCAGCUUGUUGGUGGGGUAGUGGCUUACCAAGGCUUUGACGGGUAGCCGGCCUGAGAGGGUGACCGGCCACAUUGGGACUGAGAUACGGCCCAGACUCCUACGGGAGGCAGCAGUGGGGAAUAUUGCACAAUGGGCGGAAGCCUGAUGCAGCAACGCCGCGUGCGGGAUGACGGCCUUCGGGUUGUAAACCGCUUUCGCCUGUGACGAAGCGUGAGUGACGGUAAUGGGUAAAGAAGCACCGGCUAACUACGUG